UCCGCAGAUGAGAUGACACUG
This 21-nucleotide microRNA is filed under the name Picea abies (Norway spruce). Its description in RNAcentral is "pab-miR391f". Its record names the gene pab-miR391d. The record is from miRBase by way of RNAcentral. Lineage: Eukaryota; Viridiplantae; Streptophyta; Pinopsida; Pinales; Pinaceae.